This 429-nucleotide ribosomal RNA is filed under the name Chloroflexota bacterium. RNAcentral describes it as "Chloroflexi bacterium partial 16S ribosomal RNA". It matches the Rfam family "Bacterial small subunit ribosomal RNA", at positions 355 to 776 of the family's 1533-position model. Lineage: Bacteria; Bacillati; Chloroflexota. The record is from RNAcentral.
UGGGGAAUAUUGCACAAUGGGCGCAAGCCUGAUGCAGCCAUGCCGCGUGUAUGAAGAAGGCCUUCGGGUUGUAUAGUACUUUCAGUCGGGAGGAAGGUGGUAAGGUUAAUAACCUUAUCAAUUGACGUUACCGACAGAAGAAGCACCGGCUAACUCCGUGCCAGCAGCCGCGGUAAUACGGAGGGUGCAAGCGUUAAUCGGAAUUACUGGGCGUAAAGCGCACGCAGGCGGUUGAUUGAGUCAGAUGUGAAAUCCCCGGGCUUAACCCGGGAAUUGCAUCUGAUACUGGUCAGCUAGAGUCUUGUAGAGGGGGGUAGAAUUCCAUGUGUAGCGGUGAAAUGCGUAGAGAUGUGGAGGAAUACCGGUGGCGAAGGCGGCCCCCUGGACAAAGACUGACGCUCAGGUGCGAAAGCGUGGGGAGCAAACAGG